GAUGAACGCUGGCGGCGUGCCUAAUACAUGCAAGUCGAGCGAACAGACGAGGAGCUUGCUCCUCUGACGUUAGCGGCGGACGGGUGAGUAACACGUGGAUAACCUACCUAUAAGACUGGGAUAACUUCGGGAAACCGGAGCUAAUACCGGAUAAUAUAUUGAACCGCAUGGUUCAAUAGUGAAAGACGGUUUUGCUGUCACUUAUAGAUGGAUCCGCGCCGCAUUAGCUAGUUGGUAAGGUAACGGCUUACCAAGGCAACGAUGCGUAGCCGACCUGAGAGGGUGAUCGGCCACACUGGAGCUGAGACACGGUCCAGACUCCUACGGGAGGCAGCAGUAGGGAAUCUUCCGCAAUGGGCGAAAGCUUGACGGAGCAACGCCGCGUGAGUGAUGAAGGUCUUCGGAUCGUAAAACUCUGUUAUGAGGGAAGAACAAAUGUGUAAGUAACUAUGCACGUCUUGACGGUACCUAAUCAGAAAGCCACGGCUAACUACGUG
This 497-nucleotide ribosomal RNA is filed under the name uncultured bacterium. RNAcentral's name for it is "partial 16S ribosomal RNA". It matches the Rfam family "Bacterial small subunit ribosomal RNA", at positions 28 to 507 of the family's 1533-position model. The record is from RNAcentral.